CCGGGUGAUGAGACUAAGGCGAAUGCGACUUGGCCUACUGACUCUUGGCUUGGGGGCGGGGGAGGACACCUGGUGAGAUCUGAGAUCUUGGUGGGGAUGCCCGAGCCCUGGCUCCCCACUGUAAGGCCAGAUCGAUAGCACUGCUGGCCUUGCCUUUAUGUUAGCUGUCACCACAGUACUGGCAGCAACCUGUAGGGAGGCCCACAGGGGGUAGCCAACAUGUGAGUAUAGCCAUGUGAGCGCAACCUUGAAUCUGACA
Molecule: small nucleolar RNA, 259 nt
Organism: Grammomys surdaster
Lineage: Eukaryota; Metazoa; Chordata; Mammalia; Rodentia; Muridae
Source: RefSeq, a predicted model, not a curated record